This is a non-coding RNA of Rhizobium sp. Leaf453, 108 nucleotides long. The record is from Rfam. Lineage: Bacteria; Pseudomonadati; Pseudomonadota; Alphaproteobacteria; Hyphomicrobiales; Rhizobiaceae.
GGUCGCGGCGUGUCAAUCGGACAUGACGGAGAUGGUGAACGCAGCGAUUUUUCCGUUUUCUCGCUGCGGGCAACGAAACGCCAGGCGAGCGCCCAACCUGUCCGCCGC